Non-coding RNA from Equus caballus (horse), 1954 nucleotides. The record is from RefSeq and is a predicted model, not a curated record. Lineage: Eukaryota; Metazoa; Chordata; Mammalia; Perissodactyla; Equidae.
UAAUGCCUCUUCAUACUGCUUGGAAAAAUCUAGUAGUUUUAGACAUUGUGAAUGUCAAACUGCCUGAAGUUCAUGCCAUUUACUCCAGUAAUAUGAUAUAGGGAAAAUACACAAAAACAGAGGAUGUGUACUUCUGGCUGUUUGACAGACCAGGUGCUCUUUUGGACUCUGCCUUGGCAUCACCAUUAGACCCUGAGCAGGGUGGAUGGCUGGGUGUGUAAGAGGUAGUGGAAGGCUCUGAGGACCACUCCUCUACUCCACUCACCCUAGGUGAGUGAUGUCCAAGCUCAGAGUAAUAAGCCAGAAGGUUUACGUUAUCUUGAAGGUGGACGCCUAUCUGAGCACUAAGGUCAGGAUUCCAGCAUUGAGGUAGGGAGCUGACCCUAUGACUCCUCUAGUGAGCUAGGGCCCUUGAGAGGGGCUAAAGUGGCCCAAGGUCAGCAGACCCCUAGCCCUUGGCUCCCAGUAGAAGCAGACUCACAUCCUCUCUGAGGAACAUGUACUCAGUUCAGGCCUCAGUUUAGGAUUAAGAUCAAGCAAUAAGCUCUCAAUCAAAGAUCACCAAGCACACAAGAAGGAAUGGGAGUCAACAGAAGAAAUGGCCACAGAUUUAGACCUCCAACGACUGAAGACAGUGGAAUUGUCAGACAAGAAUAUUGAUUAGCUCUAUGUGGAAUGUUUAAAGAAAUAAGUGAUGGAAUGCAGUGAUGAGCAAGCAACAAGAGACUGUUAAGAAUGACCAAGCUGAUUUGAAAGAGAACCAAAUUGAACUGCUGGAUACAACACAGUUUGAAGAUAGAAUAAAUGAACUGGAAGAUCUAUCUCAAGAAAUUACCCAGAGUGUCGCACAGAGAAAUAAGAAAACAGAAAAUAUGAGAUAUAAGGUAAGAGAUAUGAAGGACAGAAUGACAAGGUCAAAUACACAUCUAAUUAAAGUCUCAGAGAGAGAAAACAGAGAAAACAGAGAAAAAGCCAUAUUUGCAGAGAAAUGGCUGAGAAUUUUACAGAACUGAUAAAAGACAAAAAUCCAUGAUUCAAGAAGCACAAGAUAGCUCAAGCAAAAUUAAAGUAAAUCUGCACAUAGAUAAGUAAUAGUGAACUGCAGAGUACUGGCAACAAAGAUAUUAAAAGCAGUCAGAGAGAAAAGACAGUUCAUCUACAAACAAAUGAAAAACAUUGGCUGAUUUUUUAACAAUUAAUAAUGGAAGCCAGACAAAUGAUGUCUUUAAGGGGCUAUCAGACCAUAAUUAUCAACCUAGAACUGGGGAGCUAUCAAACUAUCUUUCAAAAAUUAUAAUGAAAAAGGCAAUUUAAGAUAAAGAGCAGAUUGAUAACAAAGGAACUACCAAAUAUAUACUUUAGGAUGCAGGACACAGACACCAGGACAGUCUGAGAUGCAGAUAAAAUGGAGAAAACAUAUAUAAAUCAAAAUAAAUGUUUAUAUAAUAUCAACAAGGGAUGAAAAUCAGGAUAAUCAUGCCAAAUGGAUACCCUGCUGUGUCUGUUUCUGCCCAGAGAUCAGAGUGGACAAUUAAUCCCCAGCAUCACCCAGGGGGAGCUAUUUAAUGUGGGUUGCUGAGCAGAGAACAAAAGAACAGGGUCUGUUUGAGAAGAUAAAUCUUAAGAAGCAGAGCCAGGAGGAAGAGGACGGAUGGUGUCCAUGUGCGGCCCACUGACAGCUGUCGGUCUUCAAACGUCUUCCUCCCCGUGAGGGUGAUCUGCGGCGUGGACUUUGCUGUCCAUCUUUCCCUGCCUGAGCGGACCACAGCCUGGUGCCUCGUGCCCUUCCAGCUCAAGAUGAGCAAAUGGAGAUAAAGAAAGGUAAAAUAACUUGCCUCAAACCACUCAGUCAGUGGGUGGCAAGGCCGGAUUCAAGGCCAGCAGUCGAUUUUCAUGGUCUCUGCUCUUAACCAGCACCCCUCCUGGGCAACUGCAAGCUGUGUAGCGAGUGUUC